GCAUGAAGCGCGGCGACAUUCGCGUAUUGGGUGCCGCGUCCUACGCCACGCCGCUGUUGUCGACCGCAUUCCUGAUCAUUGCCGGCUUUGCGAAGCCCACCGCGACGCUCGCCAUCGCGGCGGCGUUGAUCGCAGGUGGCGGACUGAUCGCGGCGAAGGACAUGAUCGUUAAACGAGGGGCAUGAUCCCGAAAAGUGGAA
RNAcentral lists this unclassified non-coding RNA (200 nucleotides) under Hevea brasiliensis (rubber tree). Lineage: Eukaryota; Viridiplantae; Streptophyta; Magnoliopsida; Malpighiales; Euphorbiaceae. The record is from RNAcentral.